GGGGGGGGGGGGGGGGGGGGGGGGGGGGGGGGGGGCGGGGGGGGGGGGGGAGCGGGCGCCUGGGUUCAGCGGCGGAGGGGGGGGUCAGGCCUAGGAAGCUGCCUGGUCGGGGGGGCAAACGGCGGGAAACGGGCGCUAAUCCCGCAUACGGCCGGGGGGGGGAAGGGGGGGGUAUUCGGACCCCACGCAAGCAGAUCGGCCUAGGUCGGAUUAGCUAGUUGGUGGGGUCAAGGCCUACCAAGGCGACGAUCCGUAACUGGUCUGAGAGGAUGAUCAGUCACACUGGAACUGAGACACGGUCCAGACUCCUACGGGAGGCGGCAGUGGGGAAUAUUGGACAAUGGGCGAAAGCCUGAUCCAGCCAUGCCGCGUGUGUGAAGAAGGUCUUCGGAUUGUAAAGCACUUUAAGUUGGGAGGAAGGGCAGUAAGUUAAUACCUUGCUGUUUUGACGUUACCAACAGAAUAAGCACCGGCUAACUUCGUG
RNAcentral lists this ribosomal RNA (484 nucleotides) under uncultured bacterium. RNAcentral describes it as "partial 16S ribosomal RNA". It matches the Rfam family "Bacterial small subunit ribosomal RNA", at positions 39 to 507 of the family's 1533-position model. The record is from RNAcentral.